CAUUACUGAGUUUACGCUCUACAACCCUUUGUGAACAUACCUAUAACUGUUGCUUCGGCGGGUAGGGUCUCCGCGACCCUCCCGGCCUCCCGCCUCCGGGCGGGUCGGCGCCCGCCGGAGGAUAACCAAACUCUGAUUUAACGACGUUUCUUCUGAGUGGUACAAGCAAAUAAUCAAAACUUUUAACAACGGAUCUCUUGGUUCUGGCAUCGAUGAAGAACGCAGCGAAAUGCGAUAAGUAAUGUGAAUUGCAGAAUUCAGUGAAUCAUCGAAUCUUUGAACGCACAUUGCGCCCGCCAGCAUUCUGGCGGGCAUGCCUGUUCGAGCGUCAUUUCAACCCUCAAGCUCUGCUUGGUGUUGGGGCCCUACAGCCGAUGUAGGCCCUCAAAGGUAGUGGCGGACCCUCCCGGAGCCUCCUUUGCGUAGUAACUUUACGUCUCGCACUGGGAUCCGGAGGGACUCUUGCCGUAAAACCCCCCAAUUUUCCAAAGGUUGACCUCGGAUCAGGUAGGAAUACCCGCUGAACUUAAGCAUAUCAAUAAAGC
Molecule: ribosomal RNA, 545 nt
Filed under: Colletotrichum gloeosporioides
Lineage: Eukaryota; Fungi; Ascomycota; Sordariomycetes; Glomerellales; Glomerellaceae
Description: eukaryotic LSU rRNA
Rfam family: 5.8S ribosomal RNA (bases 178-331)
Source: RNAcentral